UGAAGGAAAAUCGGUGCAAAAUUUGUUGUGCUCAAUUUCCAUAUUACUCGCGGACUAUGGUCAUAAACUAGGAAUAGCGAAGAAACGAUAGUAUUUCGAUCGGAAACGAGCAAAAGGAGUGAAAAUCUCGAAGAGCUUAGCCUAGAUGUUAGAAAUUAGUGGAAGACACAUUU
This is a non-coding RNA of Caenorhabditis elegans, 173 nucleotides long. The record is from Ensembl. Lineage: Eukaryota; Metazoa; Nematoda; Chromadorea; Rhabditida; Rhabditidae.